This 301-nucleotide ribosomal RNA is filed under the name uncultured bacterium. Its description in RNAcentral is "partial 16S ribosomal RNA". It matches the Rfam family "Bacterial small subunit ribosomal RNA", at positions 509 to 807 of the family's 1533-position model. The record is from RNAcentral.
CAGCCGCCGCGGUAAUACGUAGGGUGCGAGCGUUGUCCGGAAUUAUUGGGCGUAAAGAGCUUGUAGGCGGUUUGUCGCGUCUGCUGUGAAAAUCUGGGGCUUAACCCUGGACGUGCAGUGGGUACGGGCAGACUAGAGUGUGGUAGGGGAGACUGGAAUUCCUGGUGUAGCGGUGGAAUGCGCAGAUAUCAGGAGGAACACCGAUGGCAAAGGCAGGUCUCUGGGCCAUUACUGACGCUGAGAAGCGAAAGCAUGGGGAGCGAACAGGAUUAGAUACCCCUGUAGUCCCUGUCUCUUAUAC